RNAcentral lists this ribosomal RNA (484 nucleotides) under uncultured bacterium. RNAcentral describes it as "partial 16S ribosomal RNA". It matches the Rfam family "Bacterial small subunit ribosomal RNA", at positions 30 to 507 of the family's 1533-position model. The record is from RNAcentral.
AUUGAACGCUGGCGGCAUGCCUUACACAUGCAAGUCGAACGGCAGCGCGGACUUCGGUCUGGCGGCGAGUGGCGAACGGGUGAGUAAUACAUCGGAACGUACCCUGUUGUGGGGGAUAACUAGUCGAAAGAUUAGCUAAUACCGCAUACGACCUGAGGGUGAAAGUGGGGGAUCGCAAGGCCUCACGCAGCAGGAGCGGCCGAUGUCUGAUUAGCUAGUUGGUGGGGUAAAGGCCCACCAAGGCGACGAUCAGUAGCUGGUCUGAGAGGACGAUCAGCCACACUGGGACUGAGACACGGCCCAGACUCCUACGGGAGGCAGCAGUGGGGAAUUUUGGACAAUGGGGGCAACCCUGAUCCAGCAAUGCCGCGUGUGUGAAGAAGGCCUUCGGGUUGUAAAGCACUUUUGUCCGGAAAGAAAUCGCGCUGGUUAAUACCUGGCGUGGAUGACGGUACCGGAAGAAUAAGCACCGGCUAACUACGCG